This 512-nucleotide unclassified non-coding RNA is filed under the name Hevea brasiliensis (rubber tree). The record is from RNAcentral. Lineage: Eukaryota; Viridiplantae; Streptophyta; Magnoliopsida; Malpighiales; Euphorbiaceae.
GUAAUAGGGUUGUGUCAUCUGGUUAGCUUGUGGAUGUUGCAGAUGUUGCGGAGGCGUCGACAUACCCAUAUUUUGCAUGCCGGGGAUCUGCGGAGGCGUCGGCAUACCCAUAUUUUGCAUGCCAGGGAUCUGCGGAGGCAUUGGCAUACCCAACUGAUGGUUUGGAUUAACAUGGCUAUUCAUGUUAGACAUUUGACCACUUGUUAUUGGCUGGAUGUACAUACCUAUACCUACAACCUCGUUCCCCAUUGAUUGAGGUCCUUGGGGAUGUCCACCGAGUCCGUGUGAGACGAUAACCUGAGUAGUAACCUGCAUUGGGUGAGGGUAAUGAGAGCCUGAUACUGGGCUACCAUCAUCAGAAGACUGAGCUUCCCAGGGUGGAGGCGGCAAUGAACCAGUUUGCGAACCAUAGCCAGGUGAAUGGGGUUGCUGUUGCUGCUGAGGAGAAGUUUGACCAUUCCAUGCAGAACCUGGGCCCUGCAUGUAUAUCGAUUGCUCAUAAUUAGGCGAAC